This 277-nucleotide ribosomal RNA is filed under the name uncultured bacterium. RNAcentral describes it as "partial 16S ribosomal RNA". It matches the Rfam family "Bacterial small subunit ribosomal RNA", at positions 28 to 315 of the family's 1533-position model. The record is from RNAcentral.
GAUGAACGCUGGCGGCAUGCCUAACACAUGCAAGUCGAACGAGGAAGGGCUCUUUCGGGAGCUCUUCCUAGUGGCGGACGGGUGAGUAACGCGUAAGAACCUGCCCCCAGGAGAGGGAUACCAACUGGAAACGGUUGUUAAUACCUCAUGUGCUGAGGAGUAAAAGGGUGUAAAAACCGCCUGGGGAGGGGCUUGCGUCUGAUUAGCUAGUUGGUGGGGCAAAGGCCUACCAAGGCAAUGAUCAGUAGCUGGUUUGAGAGGACGAUCAGCCACACUG